Molecule: non-coding RNA, 16249 nt
Organism: Xyrichtys novacula (pearly razorfish)
Lineage: Eukaryota; Metazoa; Chordata; Actinopteri; Labriformes; Labridae
Source: the annotation of a GenBank genome assembly
UCAAUAGUUAUUAGUUAUUGAUGACAUUUGGGAAUAUAUCGAUAUCUCUUUCUGACUGUAAACAAAGCCGUUCUCCACCUCCUCUAACCUGAUUGGUUGUGAGGCAGACGCUGCUCCCCCGUGUCGUUCAGGAGCCCAAACAAAGUUAGCGUGCUACAAUAUCGGACAGUAGAAACCAACCAGAAAGUUCGGAAAAUUGUCUGAAUCCUCCUUUGGCCACGACUGCCGACACAAGCAAGAAAACAAAGUAAAUACCGGAGACUCUGGAGGAAUAACGGGCGCUUAAAACAGAGGUAGACCGGACAAGAGCUAAAAAGACGGGUCAACAUAAACGAUGGGGGACGCUUGGGGAUCUUGGUGACCCUGUAACCUUUCUGCUGGACAGGUAAACCGCUUUAACAAAGUAAGACAAGGAUUCUGAUUGGCUAACGUGGGCUUGAGCUUCUCGCUACACCGCCAACUACAGGUUUGUACACAGAUUAGUGUAAACGAAAACUUUUCUGAAAACGCAGUGGUGUGCACAGAAACGGAGAGGGUUAAAUGUCCGUUUAUGAAACUAUCCGGGCACGCGUAAACGUGGUCUAAGUCUGUCAGAGGUUCACAGCGAUUUGAAUUUUUCUCAUAUGUCCUGUAGCUUCAGAAAAAUGAACAUAUGACGAUUUUGACAACAAGAAAAACAUGAUUUCCAUCAGAGUGGGUCUUUAAGAGCAGAAACAGAGACACAGCUGAUGUAUGACUGCAGGUUUACACACAGUCAGGUCUGUUACACUGUGACUCCCACAGCUGCAGGUUUUAGUAAAAACAAAGACUCACAAUUCUGUAUUUGUGCAGAGAAUUAUCGUUCCUGUCUGACUGUGCACGUUUGUUUUCAUCAGCAUGUUUCUGUCUUUAUGUUGUGAAGGAAAGAAAGGCGGUUUUGUGUUUCUGUAAUCAGAGCAACCCUGAGAGUCAGGUGAUGGUUGUUUUCCCUGUUAUUGACGUGUGUGUAGAUUAUGACCCUUUCAUGUUAGUGUGAGUUCAUAUUUUUAUAGUUAAAGGUUCAUUCUUCUCACAGCUCCUCAGACAGAACAGAGAGGACUGAGCUGUGUUUCUAUAUUUGAUUCUCCUUUAGCUCUGUCGUUUUGAUUAUUUCACAUUUUUGUUUCAUUCAGGAGAAUAUUAAACCUUUUAAAGUCCUUUAAACCUUCAUUAUGUGGUUAAUGUGUGAGGAGGGGUCAAAGUUCCUCUGCAGCAGCCGUGAUAACCUCGCUCUCUCUCUCUCCUCAAAAACAAAAGAGUUAGCAGGAGUAAGUUAAGGAGAUAUCGCUGAGGGAGAGACCUCGCGUUAAACAAACAAGAGAACUUGGAAAACCAUUACUCAGGCGCUUUAGAGAAAGUUGGGGGAGAUUAAUCGCAGCCUCGGCACUUUUGUAAGCUUUGGGUUGAAUUAGCAGAAACACUGCGAGCCGCUCUGAUCUUCUCAUGAAAACUCACCAACAGCUGACACCAGCCCUCAUCACCAUGCAGCGUGUGGACGUACAUGGAAGUGAGACUGCAUGUUUGACUCCAUGCGUGUGUGUGUGUGUCCGUGUGUGUGUGUGUGUGUGUGUUCCUGACAGAAUGAGUCACAGUGUUUCUGCUCUGCUUUUAUCAAACCAUUUCUACAGAGAGUCUAAUGAGUCAAUACGUCUGUGCCGGCUUUACUGAAGUCCUCACUGAUCCUCCUGACAGCUGCUGAGGAGCUCAGAGCUUCAGGAAACAAACAGGAGGAUCUGCUUUUUAAAACCCCGACACACACACACACACACACACACACACACACACACACACACACACACACACACACACACACACACACACACACACGGACAAUUCUGUGAUAGAGGAGCCACGACGAUCACAGGAACAUGAGACUGUUUUAUGUUUUAUGUCAGUGAAGGAAACUGUGAGAAGAAAAGACCUGAGAUGAUUUUAAUCUGUAAUCUCAACCUCAUUCUGUCCAGGUGAUCAUCCCGCUCCUCAGACCGUCCUCAUACGUGGUCCUCGUCUUUCUUCUUCAGCACAUGGAAAAGAAAAAAACAACAAAAGCUCAGACUCUGCGGGACAUGAAGGGUUAAGAGAUCACGCUGUCGCUGUUUAAUAAACUCAGUUUGUUACGAACCCAAAUGAGAGUCGACCUCAUUUUGUGAGCAGCAGAUGGCGAGGUCACAGAGCGGUCUAUAAGAUGGUUUAUAUUUCUCACCUGAAGGGCGUCAGUCUCUGUUUCUCCUCCUCUGAUCCUGCUGAGGUUUUCAAACUGCAAAGUAAAAAAUAAAAAUAAAAAUUAAUCCAUAUUUUGGUCAUAAAUGCUCAGACGUCAGUAUUUGUCACAUAUUCUUUUUUAAGUUGCGUACUGAAUAUGAAGCCCUGGAAAUAUCUUGUUUAUUUGAUGGUUUAUCUUGUUUUUUCUUUUCAUUGCAGACCAGAAGAACAUAACAUGACAAACACAUGCAGAGAUCAUGGUUACUGCUGAAUCUGGAUGAGAAGAAGCAGCUUGACAAUCCUUCAUCUGAAGACAUGAGGAGAAAAAUCCAGUCAUGCCUGAAAGAUCUGAAGAAACAUCUACAGCCUCACCUCUGCAGGUACCAGAACUCAAGAGAAGCUGAAUCAGAGUCCAAGACCUGCAGAUGUCUCCUGUGGUCCACCAUGAAGGGUUCAGAAGGUCUGUAAAGGAGCUGGAGCCCCAGUAUGAACUUCCAUUAUGGUCGUAUUGAAGUCCAACAGGUCCAGCAGCUCUUCAGAACAAAGACCUCACACCAGCUGAGAACAUCUAACCCACCAUGGAUGGACUUCUGUUGAGGUCGUUUCACAGCGAAUAAUGAAGCGAAUAAUUCACUUUUUUUAUAACCUCAUAAAGUCAAUGUAAGCUUCAACAACAGCUCCGAACUUCCACAGAGAAAAAGGCGACUGUAAAUAUUUGCAGGCGAACCGCUAAACCUCCAAUCAGAAUACAAGCCGUUUCUCUGGUCCAGUCGUCUCUCUGUGAUCUGUCCUCUCCUUCUGCAAACGUGGAGUCAGCUGAUGGAGCAGUUCUUGAAACUGUCAGAGGAACAUUUUGAAGUAUUGUCAGAAUUUCUCAGGAUAUAAUUUCAGCUCCUGGAUCGUUGUGAAGCUCCACCCUCUCCUGCCGCCAAGGUCAGUCCUGGAUGUACCCAGACGCUCCGAUCCCCUCUGUUCUCCUGAGGUGAAUUCACGCCACAGACUCACAGAAUUUUAUUCACGUCACACGAGGUGGGUUCAGGAAAAGGUGCAAGAUGAAUAUUUCACAUUUUCACGGUGAGAUCCUGCUGUCACUGUCUGAUGUUCUCAGCUCGGGGUUCGGUUUAAGGUUUUCUGCUUUUCCCAUCACUUCACUAAUUCACCGGUUUAGAUCUCUAAUGUGAUUGGUCAAGAAAAACCGUCUUGAACUGGUCGGUCAGAUCUCCAGUCUGAGGAUUUCAUCAACCAGACUGUUUCUAUUCAAGGUCACUGGGGCUAAAACCUUUCCCAGCAUGCAUUGGAAAAACAUAGGGGACACAGUUACACCAUAGUCCACGCCACUGAGGAUCCCCGUCCGUCCAUCUGUCUGUUCGUCCGUCCAUCCAUCCAUCCAUCCAUCCAUCCGUCCAUCCAUCCAUCCAUCUGUCCAUCCAUCCAUCCAUCCAUCCGUCCAUCCAUCCGUCCAUCCAUCCAUCGAUCCAUCCAUCCAUCCAUCCGUCUAUCCAUCCAUCCAUCCAUCCGUCUAUCCAUCCAUCCAUCCAUCCAUCCAUCCGUCUAUCCAUCCGUCCAUCCAUCCAUCCGUCCAUCCAUCCGUCUAUCCAUCGAUCCAUCCAUCCAUCCAUCCGUCUAUCCAUCCAUCCAUCCAUCCAUCCGUCUAUCCAUCCAUCCAUCCAUCCAUCCAUCCGUCUAUCCAUCCGUCCAUCCAUCCAUCCGUCCAUCCAUCCAUCCAUCCAUCCGUCUAUCCAUCCGUCCAUCCAUCCAUCCGUCCAUCCAUCCGUCUAUCCAUCCAUCCAUCCAUCCAUCCAUCCGUCUAUCCAUCCAUCCAUCCAUCCAUCCAUCCAUCCGUCUAUCCAUCCAUCCAUCCAUCCGUCUAUCCAUCCGUCCAUCCAUCCAUCCGUCCAUCCAUCCGUCUAUCCAUCCAUCCAUCCAUCCAUCCAUCCGUCUAUCCAUCCAUCCAUCCAUCCGUCUAUCCAUCCGUCCAUCCAUCCAUCCGUCCAUCCAUCCGUCUAUCCAUCCAUCCAUCCAUCCAUCCAUCCAUCCGUCUAUCUAUCCAUCCAUCCAUCCAUCCAUCCAUCCAUCCGUCCAUCCAUCCGUCCGUCUGUCCGUCCAUCCAUCCAUCCAUCCGUCCAUCCGUCCUCAGACAGAAUAAAUAGAUUUUUCUAACAUAAGUGUCGUCGGCUCGCUCUUUUUCCCUGUUUUUAAACUCACUGAGAGACAAAUGAGGGAAAAUCCCGAGGACUGAUCCGCAGACCGGGUUCGGAUCCGACCCUGCAGCUGCUUUGUUACUUACAGGAGCUGGAACCAAAACAAAGCUGACCUUUUCCCCUGGACCAGAAGAGACCUGGUACCAGAGCCAGCUCCAGGACUCCCAAACAGGGACUUUGAAACACCAGGACAUUUGUUUUCUGAGCUGACACCGAGCUGUAGGCCUUCUAUUGACGGGGGACCGGGUCAGAACAGGACCGAGUCUGAGUCAUGAGAGAGGAAUGAAGAGGAGAAACCGCAGCGUGUCAAUAUUUAAAGUCUGUCAUUGUUUAUUAUGUAAGAAGAAUAUGCAAAAGAGAGUUGUGGCGGAGCGGAUCAGCGAGUACAGACGCCAACAUUUCCCAGAGCGAAGACUUUCAUCUUACGUAACUUCUUCUACAUUUUGGGUCUGCGUCUGUUUUGAUCGUCGCACAGCUGCAGGAAGGUUUCUCCUUCUUCAUGUAGACUUUGUGUUUCCACUCAUGAAGAGUUUAUGUUAAAGCUUAGAGACUUGAUAAGAGGAUAAAGACAAAGAAGAAGAGUUUUCAUUUAGACAUCAGGAAACUGACAAACAUCUCGUCUGAAUCAUGUGAAAAAAAACUCUGUUGACAAGUUGUCGAUAAGACCUGGAGCUCAAAGGUCGUCGGUGGAGAUUAAUUAAGCUCUUGACAUUUUCAUGAGGAACAUAAUGAUUCAGCUCGUUGGUGCGCACGCCUCAGGAAGGUCGAAUCAACCGAGAUGUGAUGUAAAGGAUGUGAAGACGGGAGAAAAGUUCACAGGUUCGAGCUUUUUCCUACAGAAGUUGAUGAUGAGCUUCAGAUGAAUGUUUUAAGUGGACUAAAGAAACACACACACACACACACACACACACACACACACACACAUACACACACACACACACACAGUGAACCACCCGCCUCGCUGUUCAAAGUCGAUCCAAAAGUCCAGAGAUCAGAAGUUCUCGACUCUGCAGCGUCUCAGAAAAGAAAAGGCUCUCAGACGCCCGUGGAGCGGCUCCGGUCGGCCUGAAGCAGCAACAGCAUGAAAAGAGUUUCCUCCAACCUCACAGUCAGUCUGAUAUCACACAGUUAGACUUAUUUUAUACAGUUUAUAUAUUUACCCUCAGCACAAAACCACAAGAAACUACACAGACAUGCAAACGACGAAAACGAAAGCAGAUACAUCCGUGAAGAUUUACUGAACACUCAGAGCUCAGGGACAAACUCUGUGACUGAGCUGCUGUUGUUGUUCUGCACAUGUAUGGAGGUCAAUCUGUGCCAUCUGAUUCUGAAUUUCUAAAGCUCAUUUUUUUUGUAUCAAAAUCAGACUUUGAAUUUUAAAACCACCGAAUUUCAAGCACGCAUUUUUAUUUCUGAUGCUAAUUUUUUCACGAUGAUGAAAUAAAUUCAGAGUAAAAAAAAAAAAGGUCUCUUAAAAUAUUCAUUUAGUAAAAAUUGGACUUGAAAAAACCUGUGCAAAAAAAAAAUAAGUGUAAAAGAGAGCGACUUAACAUCUGGGUGACCAGGGAGAAGCGAUCGAUUCAAUCUUCCACUGGGUGUCACAUGACCAAACUCGCAUUAUUUGAUUGGCUGGACGAUGGCUGAUUGAGCCGGGAAUCCAUUGCUUCUCCCUGGUUACCUGGACGUUGAGUCGGUCUCUUUUACACCAAAGUAUUUGACACUGAAUCUUUUUAUGUUGAAAUUUUUUUUAAGUCGAAUUUUUAAGAAACAAAUAUUUUGAGAGACCGAUUUUUUUUACACUGAAUUUAUAUCAUCAUUGUGAAAGUAAAUUUGAUGGCUUUGAAAUUCAAAGUCUGAUUUUGAUGCAAAAAAAUUUUAGCUUUAGAAUUUUUAAAAAUUUAAAAUCAGAUGGCACAGAUUUACUUCCAUACACAAGCAUACUGUGACCACCAACAUGAUGGUCUGAUGAGAAGAAGAAGAAGAAGAAGACAGAGGUCUCUUAGAUCUGCACCAAACUCAAACAGAGACAGAGGAACAUCUUCUGAUCCAUCACUAUCCAAGACUUUCAUUUAUCCAGAGUCAGCUCUCUAAAAAAAUCACAUUUCAAUGAUUUUACUCGUGUAAAAAACCAAACAGACGUGUGCAGAGAUCACUCAGAGUAAAAAUAACUCCUUUGCUUUCUGACUCGUAUGCUAACAGAUAUGAUGUGUGGAUAGAGCCGCCUGCCUACAUCAGCGCGGUUUCUCAUGUUUCACCAGCUUCCAAUGAGAUAAGAGGAAUUUCAUCUGUAUGCUGCAACAACCUGAACCAGACUGCAAUCCUGCAGACGACACGGCUCUGCUCUGCUGUCACCGUCAGGAAAACCUUUACGCUGUUGACAUUUCCUUUACUUUUAUCAGAACCUCACGAUCAUCUCGCUUCUAGAUCGGCUCAAUUAUGUUCCUGACAAGCUCACAGACGUGGAGCACACGGCGGUACACAGCAGAGUUUCUGCAGCAGCAGCAGCAGCAGCUCUGAAACUGCUCAUGUGUUUAACACCGAGUCUGUGCAGAGACGAGAAACCAAAGACUGACUCUCACCCUGAGCUUUAAAAUAAGAAUCAGUUCAAACGUCAGAAAGAAACGAUCAAAUCUUCUGCAGCAGGAAACACAGAAGAGUCAGGGAGGAUGAAGCGUGAACGAGGAUGACGAACCUGAUGGAUUCAUUUUACUUUGAUUUAAAGAAGCUGAAAUAAAAACAUGUUUGUGCAGAAAUUUGACUCCAGAUGUUGACCUGUGGUGGUAAAAUAAUGAUGGUGCACUGACACCAUCAUAGAAGUGUUGAGCAGAUCUCUUUGUGUGUAAUAUGGAGGUUUUUUAUUCAGAUCUUUGUACAUAUCUUUGAUCUAAUUUGUGAAGAAGGGUCAGGACUUGAUAAACUCUUUGUCAAAAUAAACAGUUUAAAAGAAACAGGAUGAAACAAACAUAAGUUUUUAUAAAUUUAUCUUUGUCAUGUACAGUUGUUCGGUGUACAGAUGUAUUAUUUUGUUUGGUGUUUUGUUGUUACUUGUUGAGGAUGAUCUCCAUCCUUUGGUCUGUUGUCGUUGCUCCACGUUCAGCUGAAGGAUCGUACAGGUGGUCCCCGUCAGUCUCUCUGGUUUUACUCUAACAUGCGUCCUGCAGCAGCGUGGAUUUCCUAACUCAGAGCUGAUGCAUGUUUCCUCGUUUGGAUCUAAAUCAAGUUACUUCAUAUUUUUCUGGUGAAUAUUGAUCGGGGUUUUCUCGCUCUAAAUCAGCAGCUCAUUAAGUUUGACGGCAGGUCUGUCCUUGUUUUGUUAUUUUAUGGGUCUGAUCAGCAGAGUGAGAUUCAGCUCAAAGGGCGGACUUUUCCCACUUGGCAGGUCGCCUGGAGUCUCCAUAUUCAAUCAUGUACAGCAGAGAGAGAGAGAGAGAGAGAGAGAAAGAGAGAGAGAGACAGAGAGAGAGAGAGAGAAAGAGAGAGAGAGAGAGAGAGAGAGAGAGAGAGAGAGAGAGAGAGAGAGAGAGAGAGAGAGAGAGAGAGAGAGAGAGAGAGAGAGAGAGAAAGAGAGAGAGAGACAGAGAGAGAGAGAGACAGACCACCGCAGGAAAUAAAUGUCCAGGUUAUUAGGCUGAGGCUCAGAUGUCGGUCUCUUUUCAGGCUGGAGGUGGAGGGACUUUAGAAACCAAAUUCAGACUCAUGGACCAAUGAGGAGGAGAUGGAGUCUCUGCUGCUUUGGUCGGUUUACAGAAUUGAAUAAAAGAGAGGUGUCUUUAUGCAGCUUAGCAAAUAAUAAUAAUGACCGCUGUGAAAAUGUUGAUUUCUGAAUCUUUUCAUUACUGCACAAACAGUCGACACAGAAGCUUAUAGAUGAACUUUAAACAAAUUUGGAAAAUGAAGAACAAGCAGUCAGUUCCAAUUAAAUUCCGAUAUAAUGCAGAUAAAUACUUCAGAUCAUUACAAAUGGGGCCCAGUCAAGGUGAAAGUCAAAAGCAUUGGUGCUACUGUAGAUGCCAACAGACUACCAGCAAACACAAUGUUUGCAGGACUUCUACAACGAGGAUAAAGUGACAUAGUCCAGGACCCGAGGGAGGACAGUUUAGCGAUGGCGCUACAACACGCUACAGCAGGUCCGUUUGACAAGAAACACUUCUGUUACAGACACUUGUCUUACUUUGUUAAAGCGGUUUACCUGUCCAGCAGAAAGGUUACAGGGUCACCAAGAUCCCCAAGCGUCCCCCAUGGUUUAUGUUGACCCGUCUUUUUAGCUCUUGUCCGGUCUACCUCCGUUUUAAGCGCCCGUUAUUCCUCCAGAGUCUCCGGUAUUUACUUUGUUUUCUUGCUUGUGUCGGCAGUCGUGGCCAAAGGAGGAUUCAGACAAUUUUCCGAACUUUCUGGUUGGUUUCUACUGUCCGAUAUUGUAGCACGCUAACUUUGUUUGGGCUCCUGAACGACACGGGGGAGCAGCGUCUGCCUCACAACCAAUCAGGUUAGAGGAGGUGGAGAACGGCUUUGUUUACAGUCAGAAAGAGCGGACCGCUCACAACAUUCAUCAUCCCAAGACGCCUGAUGAAUGAGUUUGAACUCGUCAUCAUAAUGAGGACAGAAAGAAGACGACAGGAUCCACUCCUGCAGUGAAGUUGAAGAAUGAGAAAUCUAUGAUAAUCAAUCAUGAUAUUGAUAAUCUCAGAGCUCAUCUCUGUCUGCUGAGUUUAAAUCUGUUUGUGUUUCUCGUCUCUAAAUCUAACCGCUCACUUUACAGUGUCCUCUUAUCGGUUUCAGUCGCUCGCUCUGUAAUCAUGCGCCGCAGCUGUACUUCACAUCGAGAGGUUAAGUGCAGAAAAAUCCUCACAUAUAACCUGAACACACACACACACACACACACACACACACACACACACACACACAGACACACACACACACAGGUUCUCAUCAACAGCCUCUCAGUUUAAGGGUCAAUAGAAACUCUCACUUCGAGCUCGUUUGGGUGUCACAGGUGUCUCGGUGUCUCAGCGUGUCAGCGGCGAGGAUGAUAAUCAGCUCACAGUCAUUCGGCUCACAGAGCGCCCUGGCUCCUCGCCGCCUAACCUGCUGCCAGACGUCCAUUCAUCAAUCAGCCUCUCAUGGCAAAACAAGCUCAGAGCGCAGAGGUGAGAGGAAAACAGGCCCCACCGGGUACACACUCAUCAUCGCUGACACACACACACACACACACACACACACACACACACACACACACACACACACACACACACACACACACAGGAGAGGAGACAGGGGUUCAGAUCUGUGCAGGUUUCUAUGAUGAAUGUCACUGUAGACAAAGAUCCCACUGAGUCUGCUCAGUGUUCAGGUUCAAACUUCGCUGUUUGUCAAAACUACAGACAGAAUAAAACAUGACUGUGAAGUUUUUCAAUGGAGGUCACUGUGGGGGACACGAAAACUCAACCCAACUUUCAGGUGACCUAUCAGAGAGCAGAGAGGUGGAUUGGAGGCGGUCCUUUCCCCCACAGCGUCACCGUUUCAGAUGCUGUGGAAAUCCCGGGUUAAAGACCCACUCCGAUGAAAAUCAUGUUUUUCUUGUUGUCUACAUGUUCAUUUUUUUCCUGAUGCUAUAGGAAAUAUCAUGAGAAAACUAAGUGUGAAACUGUAAACAGCAGACUCAGACACGGUGAGAUUUCUUAUGUCACAGUUCCAAGCUCCGCCCCCGGAGCCUUGCUAUGCAGACCAGACUCAGAGAAACAGAGAGGACGAUCACAGAACAAGCGUGUGCGUUAGCGGAUUGCAAUGCUUGUAAGAAAGCUAAUUAUGAUAUUAACUUUCAUCAUGUCAGAGCUGAAUAACUCCUAUGUUACCUGCCACUUCUACGACACCAGCAAUUUUAGGCUACAAGCUAACGUGGAGGGGAGUGUGCAGAGCAGCACUGACUCCGCCCACAACUCAGAGGUGAAUUACUAAUGAGCUACUAGAGCUCUGCAGAAGAAAAGACCAUGAAUAAUGACACAGGUAACGUGAUUUAGGCUAAAAACUUCAUAAUCACAAUUUAAUGACCACUGAGAAGACUUUUAAAAAAUGAUCAGAGUGGGAUUUAAACUCCUUAUAGGACCUUUAGACCCCCGAGGAUAAAGCAGUCUUCACUUAUUUUGUCUUUCACGUUAAAACAGAAAUCUAAAUCUUCUGUCACUUAAUGGUUAAUUUAUUAUAAAUAUAUAAAAACAGGUCUGUACACUGGUCUCAGGCAUUUAACAUGAACAGACAUAUAAACUUGAUGUGCUGUUAGAUGUAAAUGAAACAAUUCAGAAUUUGAUUUAUGUAAUAAUAUUAAUAAUCCAAAUGUAAUAAAGAUUUAUGUGUGUGAUGUUUCUGUCUCAAAAAUUUUAACUAAAUGAAUCUCAGUUUAUCAUAUUUAGACCGUAUUCUUACAUAUUAACGGAAUAAAUUUAAUUGUUUUAAAAAUUACAGAUUUAUUCAGAUUUUAAGAAGUUUGAAUAAAUGAAUAAAAAAAAGUUAUAAUUUAAAUAAAAUGUAAAUACUAAAAAUAAACCCUGUCAUGAUUAAUUUUUCUGAGUGUAUGAAAAUCGUCAUGUUUUCUCUGGAUACUGUGAAAAUCUCUAUAAACAGAAACUGGUGUCGAGUUUGUGACUGAUGAACUGUGGAGGGUCUCGCUCCCCUUUAACAUCAUUAAUUAAAACUCAGAUAAUAAUUUGAAAUGAGGUGAUUAGUCUGUAUGUUGAUUGUAAAUCUUUUUUUAUGCAAAUGAAGCAGGAAUUAAAAACUCUGACACUCUCAUGUUUGCUUUGAAUCUUAACGACGAGGUUCACAGCUGACUGUAAAUAAAUCAGAAUAAUCCUGAUCCAGAGUUUGUCCUGAGUGUUUGAGACAUGAGAGACAUGAGAAUCUGUUUGAUGAGGUGUGAUAGUCAGAGAGGAUUAGCAGGAACAUCUCGUCAUAAACAGCCGUACGUCUGAAACAUCUGCCUGACCUCAGAUAAAACCUCAUAUAACAGAGGAGAUGAGUUCUCAGGUUAUCUCUCCCUGCAGGUUCAUGGAUUAGGUCCGCUCAGCUGACAUGAAACUUCCAUGAGGUGAAGAUCCCACCUGCAUGAGGAAAUGAUCGUUCGCCUUAACCUUCAAAAUGAUCCUUUAAUGACAUUUCCUUUCUGUUUGAUCAGUUAUGAAAGCGACUUGAUGGCGACUUCGCCCGAGGAAGGAAUCAUGCAGGACACGCAGCAGGCAAUUAGCGCAUCUCUCUUAAUCGCUCUGCAGCCGUUUAACACUCAUUACUGAGACAGAUUUUCUCUGAUUCAUCACUUCACUGUGUGAUUUACCACCACUCAGUUGUCAGGCAAGAAUUCAUUACACCAUCAGCAUGCAAAUAAAGCAUCAAUAUGCAGAACGGCGCCGCGGUUAGACGGUCAUUUGGUUAAUUGAGUCACUUUGUUUGAGGAGAGGAUUAGCAUGUGAGCUAAUCAAGGUGGAUCUUCACAGCAGCAGCAGCAGCACCUGCCUCACACAGACGGAGGGUAAAUGUCAGCAGCACAGAGUUUUUCAGUCCGCUCUCAAGUGACAGAGUUUAAUGAAUUCAACGAGUGAACACCGAGGCCCCGCUGCACAGGAGGUCAGGUGUGUUUAGAGAACAUCUACAGUCACAGCUCUGCGCUCCGCUGAUGCUUUUAAUGACGGGAGGAAAUGAACACGCAGGAUUCAAGCAGCUGGAAAAAGCAGAUCAGUGGGAAACUCCUCCCACAGCAGAAUAACACAGAUCUGAUUUAAUAUAUUUAUUUAUUAUCACACAAAUAACUGACAGGGUGAAUAAAUGAGAUUAAAGUCAUGGCCUGGAUUGCAGGACAGGAUGUGGCUCAACUUUUCCCAAUAGUAGACGGUCAAAGUCAGGCUGCUCUCAUAUCUGUGCCUGCUGCUUUUAUUUUCCUGCUCUAUAAUAUAAUAUAAUGUAAUAUAAUUAAAUUAGGGUAAUGCAAGAAAAUCUUCAGCUCGACAAAAAUAAGAGAAAAGGCGAAAAAGGUGAACGGUACGAAAGAGGAUUAGUGACACAAGAAAAGGAAAAGUAAUCACAGGAGGGAGAUUUUUUUAAUUUACGUUUUGAGAUUAAAGUCAAAAUUUUUAAAAAGUCGAAAUGAAAAAAAUUGAAAUUUCAAGAUAAAAGACGAAAUUUUAAAAAGUCAAAAUGAAAAAAAUAAAAAUUUCCAGAUUAAAGUGAAAAUUUGAAAAAAGUCAAGUGAAAAAAUUCCAAAUUUCAAGAUUAAAGUCAAAAUUUCGAGAAAAAAAAUCAUAAUAAACUAAUCACCAACAAUAAUAAAGUCCUUUUAUUCUAACCUUCUGUUUCAAAUGACAGUUGUUAGAAUGAGACACGUGGAGCAUUUGUUGAAAAUGUACUUUUAUAUUUGUUUCUCAAACAAGGAGAUUUUUGAUCUUUUGGCACAUCAGCACCACAUUAUCAUAACUAUAGUAGUAAUAGUUUAGUACGACUUCAUUCUCGUUGGUAAUGACUUUAUUCUAGUAAAUUAACUUUAAUCUCAAAGUCUUUAUUUAUUUUGAUUUUAAUGUGGCCCUAAUACUCGGUUGUACACUGUCCACUCACUCACCAGGCUGCUCUCACAUCUGCCUGCCGUUAUUAUUUGCUGUUAUAAUAUAAUGUAGUAUAAUUAAAUUUGGUUAAUGCAAGAAAAUCUUCAGCUCGACAAAAACCAGAGAAAGGCUGUAACAGGGUGAGCGGUUACUACUCUCACAUUUUCAGUGUCAAACUAACCAUCUGUGCAGUGAGGCGGUAAACAAAGGAAUAUACUGUGGACUGUUCAUGUUGUUUUCACGACUCUCAAACUCUCCGAUCUGUAUGUUCAUCAGAGCGCCAACACGCUCAGCUCUGCUCUCCUGAAGGCAUCCAUGUAGAGAGAGAUGAGAGCUGCAGCAGCAGCACAGGUUCACACAUUCAGGGAUCAGGAUGUACAGAAACAGACGUGAUUACCAUCAUCAUCGUCAUUACACAGGGGAGGAGAGGAGGACAGAGCAGCAAGUUUACGGGUCGAAAUACACGCAGGCUUCUGAACACGUGUGCAGGAUGGAUUCACACCAGUGCACAACUGAUCCAACAAACAACAACAACAGGAUAAGCCUGUUUUUGUCCUGAUACAGAGGAAGAAAGUCCAAACGGAUCACAACAGCAUGAAGAACAGAUCCGUUAUCCUGUGAGAGGGAUUUAGAGCUGCUGACCUACACGUAGGGCUGGGUGAUAAAACAAUUACGAUAUAUCCUACUGAGCAUCUUUUGGUCUAAAAGAGGUCUAAUAGACGUCUAAAUGAAGCCGACUGGUCUAUAAUCAGACUACCACAACUUUAAGAAUGAAAGAUUUUUAGACGUCUAAAUUUAGACCAAGUUUAGACUAAAUCUAAAUCUGGGCUUUAUCUAUACUACACUGUAUUUUGCUUAACUGCUAUCCUAAUUAUUUUGGUUAAGUUAUGAAACUCACAGUUGCUUUUUGAAAUACAUAGUUAUUGAAUUAGGGGUUAAGGUGCAACGUCUGAAUUACGUCUAAAUAUAUACAGAAUCUAAACGGUUGAAAUUAGGUCUAAAAAAAAUUAGCCGUCUAAUACCUGUUUAUUGCUCAGUGGGAUAUUGAAACUUAAUUUCCCUCAAUAUCGAUAUAAAAUAUGAUCAAUACUCUUUUCAGCUGUCGUCAUUCUGUCAUGUUUUGGUCGACUAUACAAACAGCCAAUGAAAAGGGGAGUUUCUCCGGGUCUGAACCAAUCAUGUUCUGAAUUAGAACCAAGUAUCAACCAACUGCGUCGUAGCAGACAGAAAUGACCAUGAAUGCUCAACAGAUGACCACAUCGUCAACACUGGCGUUACGAAAUGCAAAAGGUUACAAACCCCGAGAGGAGCGAGGAGCCCAUGGCGCCUGAAACAGACGACCAUUCAGUCGGCUUUCUCUAGAGCAACGCCUUACGACAAAACAUCAAACUUAAUGUAUUACAACAGACAUGCUACCGAUAAACACUGUUACACUUCAUUUUUUAUAUUGUGAUAUUGAUCAAUAUCAGCUGAUAUGAAAAAAACAUCGUGAUCGUGAUAAACUCCCAUAUCGCCCAGCCCUACCUACACACGGACACGGACAGGAUGGAUGUCUGUAGGAAACCACAGACCCCUAAACUCAUCCACCCUAACAUAAACAGUCCCUGUAUAUACAGUACACACACACACACACACACACACACACACACACACACAGAAGCUGAGGGGGUGAAGGUGCACUGAGUGAUGGUGUGAGAGCGCCCUGUGAACGCUCUGCACCGUCUCCCCCAUCCCUCAGAUUCUCACUCCGAUAACAUCCAGAACAUUAAACAGCCAUCUGCAGGAGACAUCAUCACUUCCACAGACACUCGAGCUUUCAGAGAAUCAUCUACAGAGAGAAACUCCACAGAGCAGCCGGAGACACACGAGAACAUCUCAACAACGUUGUCCUCUACAUGUUUGAAAAGUCCUCCAGUUAUUUCAGUGACCGUCUGCUGUUUUAACAACAGUCCACCAGACUGACCUGAACUCGGCCAACAGAGAACGCCGGGCUCACUUAGCUGGCACAACUUUUACUGGACAUCCUGUCAAUAUGAGGAACGAGGCUCUUUAUUCUGCUUUUAUUUUGUAGGUCUUCAGAGAGGAAAUUGAACUCUGGACUGUAAAAAUACUUGAAAAUAAAACACUCCCUCCUUUCCUGCCAAAACUGCACUUUACAAACCCAGAGGAGGAACAACAAACAAACAAACAAAGAGAGCUUUCUGGACGAGCCGAGGCCGUUUUAGUGUCCAUCUGCUGUUUGUUUGUGUGAACGCUGAGAGACGAGAUACUUCAUUUUCUGUUUAUGGUGUGUGUUUGAUAUGAACGUGUAUAAAUGAACGUACUGUUGACAGAAAAAACACUGAACUCCGACAUGAACACUCUCCUAUUUUAAACACAGUUACAGAUUAAUAAUCUCCGUUAUUGAUCAUCUGUCCUGUCUGUCAACGCUGAGGGAGGAGGAGCGCUGGAGGAUGUUUAAAGCUAAUUUAUCAUUUAAAAAUGAUCUCUGCAUUUAUAUAAUGGAUAAUAAUGUUUAUUUCACUGUGAUCUGCAUCCUGAAAUGUCUUUAGAUGACACAGACACACAGUUUAACAUCAUUUUGAACAGACAACAACAGAAUAACUGAUUUUACUUUGUCCUCAGAGUAAAAUGGAAAUAAAUCAGGAAUCAUUUAAACUCUGUUUUUAACAGAAAAUAGGUGCAGUAUUUGUUUUUAAUGGAGGUGGGGUAGGCAGGAAUCCAUUAAAGAAGCAUCUUUUCUUUUUGUGGUGUAUAAACAAAACAUCUUUAAUAUCAGUCAAUAGUUAUUAGUUAUUCUCCACCUCCUCUAACCUGAUUGGUUGUGAGGCAGACGCUGCUCCCCCGUGUCGUUCAGGAGCCCAAACAAAGUUAGCGUGCUACAAUAUCGGACAGUAGAAACCAACCAGAAAGUUCGGAAAAUUGUCUGAAUCCUCCUUUGGCCACGACUGCCGACACAAGCAAGAAAACAAAGUAAAUACCGGAGACUCUGGAGGAAUAACGGGCGCUUAAAACGGAGGUAGACCGGACAAGAGCUAAAAAGCCGGGUCAACAUAAACGAUGGGGGACGCUUGGGGAUCUUGGUGACCCUGUAACCUUUCUGCUGGACAGGUAAACCGCUUUAACAAAGUAAGACAAGUGUCUGUAACAGAAGUGUUUCUUGUCAAACGGACCUGCUGUAGCGUGUUGUAGCUCCAUCGCUAAACUGUCCUCCCUCGGGUCCUGGACUAUGUCACUUUAUCCUCG